UACGAAGGGUGCAAGCGUUACUCGGAAUUACUGGGCGUAAAGCGUGCGUAGGUGGUGAGUUAAGUCUGUCGUGAAAGCCCCGGGCUCAACCUGGGAAUGGCGAUGGAUACUGGCUCGCUAGAGUGCGGUAGAGGAGAGUGGAAUUCCCGGUGUAGUGGUGAAAUGCGUAGAUAUCGGGAGGAACACCAGUGGCGAAGGCGACUACCUGGCCCAUUCUUGACGCUGAGGCGCGAAAGCUAGGGGAGCGAACGGG
This 253-nucleotide ribosomal RNA is filed under the name uncultured bacterium. Its description in RNAcentral is "partial 16S ribosomal RNA". It matches the Rfam family "Bacterial small subunit ribosomal RNA", at positions 524 to 776 of the family's 1533-position model. The record is from RNAcentral.